This 253-nucleotide ribosomal RNA is filed under the name uncultured bacterium. RNAcentral describes it as "partial 16S ribosomal RNA". It matches the Rfam family "Bacterial small subunit ribosomal RNA", at positions 524 to 776 of the family's 1533-position model. The record is from RNAcentral.
UACGUAGGGGCCGAGCGUUGUCCGGAGUUAUUGGGCGUAAAGCGCGCGCAGGCGGCUUCGCGCGUCCGACGUGAAAGCCCCCGGCUUAACCGGGGAGGGUCGUUGGGUACGGCGGAGCUUGAGGGCGGUAGAGGUUGGUGGAAUUCCCGGUGUAGUGGUGAAAUGCGUAGAGAUCGGGAGGAACACCUGUGGCGAAGGCGGCCAACUGGGCCGACCCUGACGCUGAGGCACGAAAGCGUGGGGAGCAAACAGG